This 264-nucleotide non-coding RNA is filed under the name Candidatus Firestoneibacteriota. RNAcentral describes it as "Candidatus Firestonebacteria FMN sequence". It matches the Rfam family "FMN riboswitch aptamer (RFN element)". Rfam says of the family: The RFN element is a highly conserved domain that is found frequently in the 5'-untranslated regions of prokaryotic mRNAs that encode for flavin mononucleotide (FMN) biosynthesis and transport proteins. This element is a metabolite-dependent riboswitch that directly binds FMN in the absence of proteins. The record is from RNAcentral.
AAUUAGCUUCAGGGCUGGGUGAGAUUCCCGACCGGCGGUAAGCUGGAGAAAUUCCGGCAAGCCCGCGACUCAGGCACUUACUUUAAAGGAUGCAAAUUCCUAGGGUUGUUUAAGUAGCUCAGGGAUAAGCAGGUGUUAACUAAGUUGCUUCUUUAUGAAGUAAGUGCCUGACUGAUCCGGUUAUAUUCCGGGGCCGACAGUAAAAUCCAUGAACCACUAGAAAUACUCGGGUUCAGGGCUAAGUCUGGAUGGAAGAAGGUGGUG